AUACGUAGGGUGCGAGCGUUGUCCGGAAUUACUGGGCGUAAAGGGCGCGUAGGCGGCCUGUUAAGUCUGGAGUGAAAGUCCUGUUUUCAAGAUGGGAAUUGCUUUGGAUACUGAUGGGCUUGAGUGCAGGAGAGGUUAUCGGAAUUCCCGGUGUAGCGGUGAAAUGCGUAGAGAUCGGGAGGAACACCAGUGGCGAAGGCGGGUAACUGGACUGCAACUGACGCUGAGGCGCGAAAGUGUGGGGAGCAAACAGGAUUAGAUACCCUGGUAGUCCACACUGUAAACGAUGAAUGCUAGGUGUAAGAGGUAUCGACCCCUUUUGUGCCGGAGUUAACACAAUAAGCAUUCCGCCUGGGGAGUACGGCCGCAAGGUUGAAACUCAAAUGAAUUGACGGGG
Molecule: ribosomal RNA, 397 nt
Filed under: uncultured bacterium
Lineage: Bacteria
Description: partial 16S ribosomal RNA
Rfam family: Bacterial small subunit ribosomal RNA
Source: RNAcentral